This 21-nucleotide non-coding RNA is filed under the name Caenorhabditis elegans. Lineage: Eukaryota; Metazoa; Nematoda; Chromadorea; Rhabditida; Rhabditidae. The record is from RNAcentral.
UCAUGUCAAUUUUAGGAAAAC